Molecule: ribosomal RNA, 254 nt
Filed under: uncultured prokaryote
Description: partial 16S ribosomal RNA
Rfam family: Bacterial small subunit ribosomal RNA
Source: RNAcentral
UACGGAGGAUGCAAGCGUUAUCCGGAUUCAUUGGGUUUAAAGGGUGCGUAGGCGGACUAUUAAGUCAGUGGUGAAAGCCUGCAGCUUAACUGCAGAACUGCCAUUGAUACUGAUAGUCUUGGGUUUGGUUAAGGUAGGCGGAAUGUGUAAUGUAGCGGUGAAAUGCUUAGAUAUUACACAGAACACCAAUUGCGUAGGCAGCUUACUGAGCCGACACUGACGCUGAGGCACGAAAGCGUGGGGAUCGAACAGGA